GCGAAUUCGCCCUUUCCUACGGGGUGCAGCAGUUAGGAAUAAUCUACAAUGCGCGAAAGCGUGAUAGUUUGAGUCAGAGUGUUUCUCAUUGAGAGACUUUUGCCAAGUGUAAAAAGUUUGGCGAAUAAGGACUGGGUAAGACUAGUGCCAGCCGCCGCGGUAAUACUAGCGGUCCAAGUCGCAGCCAUUUUUAUUGGGUCUAAAACAUCCGUAGCUUGUUUUGUAAGUUUUUUGUGAAAUCCUGUUUCUUAAAGAUAGGGCGCGCAGAAAGUACUGUAAAACUAGAGACUGGGAGACGUAAGAAGUACGUUCAAAGUAGUGGUAAAAUGCUUUAAUCUUGGACGGACUAACAAUAGCGAAGGCAUCUUACGAGAACAGUUCUGACAGUAAGGGAUGAAGGCUAGGGGCGCAAAACGGAUUAGAUACCCGUGUAGUCCUAGCAGUAAACACUGCACACUAAACAUCAGUACCUCCUCGAGAGGUGUUGGUGCUGCAGGGAAGCCGAAGAGUGUGCUACCUGGGAAGUAUAGUCGCAAGGCCGAAACUUAAAGGAAUUGGCGGGGAGACACUACAACGGGUGACGCGUGCGGUUCAAUUAGAUUAUACACCGUGAACCUCACCAGGACCGAUAGCAGGAUGAAGGUCAGUCUGAAGGGCUUACCUGACACGCUGAGAGGUGGUGCAUGGCC
Molecule: ribosomal RNA, 689 nt
Filed under: uncultured archaeon
Lineage: Archaea
Description: bacterial SSU rRNA
Rfam family: Archaeal small subunit ribosomal RNA
Source: RNAcentral